UCAGGAGCAGAAGUGAAGUCAGUCUUUGCUGAAAUUCCAUGCCGUAAUCGUCCCGUUCCUCGGAAGCCAAAGAAUUCAGACGGCAAAGCAGAUGGAUUUGUGUUGCUGAGUUAUGUCUGAAAGUGGCUCGAGACUGAGCGGGGAUAUCGGCACUUCAUCAGCACCACAAGAAAUCUUUCUUUUAAAGAGUUGCAUCAGUGCCGGGUGCGUCACCAUGGGUUUGUUAAUGAAACGGGUGUUUUUAUUGAUCGUUUGUAAUGAUACAGUGUGGGAUAGAGCUGACACUUACAAGUUGAAGGUGUUUUA
Molecule: non-coding RNA, 306 nt
Organism: Danio rerio (zebrafish)
Lineage: Eukaryota; Metazoa; Chordata; Actinopteri; Cypriniformes; Danionidae
Source: Ensembl